Molecule: long non-coding RNA, 366 nt
Filed under: Androctonus crassicauda
Lineage: Eukaryota; Metazoa; Arthropoda; Arachnida; Scorpiones; Buthidae
Source: RNAcentral
GCCAUCGAACAACAUCCGGUUUCUCAUCCUCCCAGGAGCAACCCGCGAUACAUUUUGGAAUAGACUGUACAUAAAUAAUUUACAUAUUGGCAUCAUAGCAUCAUAACACAGGUAACAACAUAAAGAUGGGGAAAACAAAGAAAUGGAGUCAAGAUUUGCGUGAAAAGGUCAUAAAAUUGCACAAAGCUGACGAGGGAUACAAGAAAAUUAGUUCCCGAUUGCAGAUUCCUGUUUCAACAGUAAAAAAAAAUCAUUCGGAAAUGAAAGUGCCAUGGUACUAUAACAAAUUUAACACAUGCAGGUCGCCCAUCAUUAUUAGCGAGUUUGCGCAAAGGUAUUUUCCGUCAUGGUUACAAUGUUAUAUAC